This 5621-nucleotide long non-coding RNA is filed under the name Homo sapiens (human). RNAcentral's name for it is "HSALNT0372171". The record is from RNAcentral. Lineage: Eukaryota; Metazoa; Chordata; Mammalia; Primates; Hominidae.
AGGCUGCGCAGCUGCGUCUGCGGGCGGGGAGCCGGGGCGGCCGUGGGCUUCCUCCGGGCGCGGGCUGACGGCUGCCGCCUGUGGGCGCCCCAGCCCUGCAGCCGAGCGGGAGGGGCGGACCAGCGGGUGUCGGGAGCAGGCUGCAGCGGCCAGGCCUCUGCGGCUUCUCGGAGUACUGGGUCCACUGGAGAGCGAAGAGCCGCGGCCGCCAGGAUUCCCAGCAGCGGCCGCGUGUUGAGAGCCUAGAAGUGGCCCCGAAGCCGUGCCUUUCCCGAUAGCCAAGCAGAAGUAGGACUUGAAGCACCGAGGCUGGGAUGCCCAUGCUGGUGACGCCUUGGGGCUCGCAGUUAUACUUGGUGACCGGUCUACACGGCGAUUCGGUGCUUUCCGGAGUAGCAGAUUCAUCUAUCUUUAGACCCACCUUCGUCCUUCGGCGGUUUAGCACGGCCUGCGCUUUCCUGCGAGCCCUGCUGUCACCCGAACAGCCUGAUGACUUCACGCUCAACCACUGGAGGGCACAACCACAUCAUUUUUAAAAAAUAGAUUCCUCCACUUAAAGGACAUGGUUUUGGGGGAAAGAACAUUUAAAAAAUGUAAAAAGAUAUAUAUCUAUAUCUAUAUAUCUAUCUCAGAUUGUUCUGAUAUAAACUCAGGUGGGAUUCUUCAAAACAGGAGGCUGUUCCAGUCUCUUCAUUUUGCAGCUGAGAAAACGAAGGCCUUGGAGCUUGAGAACUCCAGUUGCCCAAGGCACACAGGUGGUGGGUAAGGAAGCUGAUCAUGUCUCCAAAGAAUCCUUCCAUGACCCAGGAGGAUCCGGUGGGAGAGCAGGGCCGUCCACAGCUCAGCUAGGACACAAGAAGGCCCGGGGUGGCAGGAGCCCCACUGUGUGCUGCGGAGGAUGGCAGAGGAAGUCAGCAUUGUCCCGAAACUGCAGGAUCAUGUGAUGUGAUGGGAAAAAAUUAUGAGUACAAGACACAGGAAGAGCAGGUCACGGAAACACAUGGUGCCCAGAAGGGCUUAAUUAGUAGCAGCUGUGCGGGGUGAUGCACAGAGUGCCCCAAGGGUGUCCUGAGUGAGGGUGGAUGUCCCCUGCCCUCUGGCUUCGUGAAGGCUUCGUGAAGCCUGCCGGGUCACCCUUGUUUUCAUGGAUAGCUUCUUUAGGACACUCUCUCCACCAGUAAUUGACAAAGUCUGCUUCUGUUGAGUGUCUGAUAAAGGAUUGAGUUUACAUGAUUGUUAAGAUAGGAUCAUGAAAGAAGACAGAAGACGGAUGUGAGUGGCCCUCAGAAAAAAAGCAUCAAAGGAAACUGAGGAGUCUGUGUUCCGAGUUAUAACAUCAGUCCUGUGUGUAAGUGCUGAGUUUCAGCUCUGCCCAAGGCUAGGGGUUGCCUAGUCGGCUUCAACUGUAAGCUCCUAAGGGACAGUGCUGCCCCUUGAGAUGACUGGGCAGCCAUCAGCUUCAUGCUAGAGGCUUUAAAGCAAACCCAAGAUGGAGUCUCAGUACUGAUUAUUUGGGCCAGUGCCUUUCUUAACAUUUCACGGAUAUAUUCCUUUAUUUUAUUUGUUGUAUUUUAGUACAGUUUUGCUCUAUUCAGUCAUGGUCAUUCUUAGUUGCUGUUGUCUUUGUAAACUUAUUUAAUAUCUUUUAAAUAUUAAAAGAUUAAAUAAAUUAUUUUCUAAUAAAUUCUUUUAAUAUUAAAAUAUUAAUUUUUGAUAAGAACCUUGUUUACUCUCAAGAUUAAUGUAGUAAAUAAAGAAGACUAAAAACUUCAGAGACUGAAAGCUGCUGAGAAUGUGUAAGAGAAACCUGGUUGUCAAACGCAAUCCUGAUCUUUUAUCAGGCAUCUGUAUCAAUGUGGAUGAUCUAACCGUGGUUAACUUCAUGAAGAAGGAAGAUAUUUGAUUUUCAUCUGUUUAAAGAAACAAUCUGUUUCUUCUAAAAGUAUAUACUCUAAAACACAAACCACUUGGCUGGGAAAUAAAAGAUGGUUAUGCUUUAUCAUUUAUAUAAGCCUGGCCUUUCUCCAAAAUGAUUUUGAUAUAGCUUACAACAAAAAACGUGUUAGGCUUAAUAAAAGAAGAAUGGAAAUGGAAACUAAGGAUCAACAGAAAAGAGUAUCACAAAUACGGUAAUACUAGCAUAUGGUAAUAUUAUUUCUGUAUUUGAGUGUAAAACGUGGCUGUGAGCUUCCUGGAGGCCAAGGCAAAAAUAGAGACAAGAGCAACGUGCAUAAUAUCAUUAGCAGACAGAAAGAUCAUGUGACUUUUUAAUUUUUUUCCCGGAAACUGAAUCUAAAAAGAAUCGCUCUAUAUAAUGACUCAUAUAUAUGGUUUUAAGUGAAAAAAUGAUGAACACUGUCCUCCAUGAGAGUUUUGGCACAAAUUGAAGGAGGUAAGAACUGAUAUUGAAGCACAACUCAGUGAAGUUAAUCCUGUCAGGCUAGGUUCACACAAGAAAACUUCUGACAAAAUCCUAGAAUUCCGGCAAAUGCAGGCAUGGAAUGAGAGAUUCCUAUUCCAUCUGCCUCGUUGUGCCUGGGGCCAGGCCUGAGUGUUGAAGACAGCUUGUUCCAAUGUAAGAUCAAAUGAGAUUGUUCAUAACAGGAGUCUGCAGGAAUAUGGCACCUCUGAUUUGAAAUGAUGGAUGAUUUUCAUCAGCCGUGUAUCUGCUUCCUUGGCAGCACCCCAAGUGCAGACCCCAGGCUGUUUCAGUGUGUCAUCUGGCAGGCCCAAACAGAGGAUGUCUCAAUUGUGCAUGUGUAACACAGCUUUAAUUCAUAAUUUCAUUUCUGGAUGGAAUUUUGAGCAGAUGGGCAUUGCUGUCCUUUUUAAUGGUAAAAAAUCAAUGAAAGACACCGUGGUUUUGAAAUUAAUGAGCACUUGAAAAAUACCAGCUUUGUUUGGCUUUGCGUUUUCUUUUUUCCUCUCCUCCUAAGUUGUUUGCAGCAAAAUAUUCAAUUGAAAACUCAACAUGUCCACUGCCUCCCAAAAAAAAAAAAAAAUUCUGUGGAAAGUCUCCACUAACAGGAAGAGAGAAGUUCUUCACAGUUUGGUUUUAUUUUUCAAUGAUAGUCAUUGCCUCAUUUUUAAAGCAUUUAUAAUAAAUUAAGCAAGUAACACUUGUGUACCAGUUUCUAAUCAGUUUCUAAUGUGCCUGGAACUUGCUGGGCUACAAAGAAAAGGAUCAACUAUUUUUUUUCCUGCACCCAAAGAUAUUGCAAUCUUAUCGGAGAAGGGAAACUGAGGCAUGUGUUACAGUUAGAGGACUAGGAAGCACUAAUCUGUGUCAGACUCCAAAGUGCAAAUUCAAAGGAAAGACCAUUGUUGGAGGGAGUGAUCCGGAAGAAUUCCUAGCCCUUACCUGUCUCAGUCAUGCUUCUUGCCAAAGAAAAAGAGAAAUCUCCAAGUAUCUUAAUGCUUUCAGCGCUUCUCCAAUCUGACAAAUAUUUAUUCAGAUUCGAACUGACUGCCCAAGCUUCACUGCAGCUCCUCGUUUCCUGUUAGAUCUUUUUAAAAAUCUUUGCUUAAAACAUUGAAGGCUGAACGAUGAGCAAGAAAAUCUUGCCUGUGAAUAAGACACUGGGAACUGCACAGAAUCAACAUCAGCUCACAAGCUCAUCAUCUCACGCACGGAUUCCUGAGCACAUUCUCGCAUUCUUGCUCUUAAUCCUCCCUUGGCGACCUUCUACUCAGACAUCAUCUUUUAUGCAGAGAAGCAGGCACGUUUCUCAUCAUUAAUUCUGUUCUCAGCCAGGUGUGUAGCCACAGAGCAUACAGACCACAGGAUGAUUGAAAGCAUAUUGACUUUCCUGACUUCUUAUGACCACAUUUGAGGAAAGGAGUAAGCACUGGAAUCACCAACACAGCAUGCUUACGGAGGGUGGUCACCAGCUUCAUCAGCCUCCCAAUUCCACGGAGCCCCUUGAAAAUCCAGGAGCGCAGACUGGCAACAGUAGAGAUUUAAUAGGAGUUUACUGGAGGUUAUACUCCAGUCAAAGAAGAUGGAAACCAAGAAAGGACACAUUUUGGAGAUUAGCACUGGCUCCAGGAACCCAGUGAACAGAAGACUCAGGCUGAAGGCUUGUGCAUUCAGCCCAGAGAAAAUCCACUUAAAUUCAGAACAAUUAAGGACUCUGGGGAAGAAGGACUUCACAUGGUAGUGUGAUUGGAAGGCAGAUAAAUUUUAGGACACAAUGGAAGUUCCUAAGAUUUUUUAUCCUUUUCCAAUAGGAAGGAUAAAAAAAUCAUCUAAAACUAGAGGAAAAAUCAUCUAAAACAAGGUAUAAAGAAAUGGCUCACGUGUGACCCUUAUUUUACUGUGACAUGGAGCAUUUGAUGAAGGAUGUGGGAAGGGAGCCUGCUUAACUAUGAAGUGAGUAGCAUCGCCCCAGGAGCACCAUGACAGAUGCACAGGACAUGGAGGGAAGGAAAUGGCAUCCUGGCACAGCCCUGGCUCUACAUUGAGCAAUGUAGACAAAAUCAUAAAGGCUGCUCUAGUUUUCUACUUUUAGAAUCAACCUACAGACAUGUAAGACUUAAUUGUAGUUGUAGAAUAAAAGAUAAAAGAUUAUUGGCUUUCAUAACAAUAAAGUCCUAACAAUGAUUCACAGUUAUUCCAUGAAUAAGGGUAGGGGAAAAGAGGGAGGAAUGUAAGGCAUUUUAUAUGGAGCAAGGGAGGCAAAAGACGUUGACAGAGGCUUAUGGAACAACACACACACGCACACAAAUAGAAGGAAUAUAUUGCUUAAAAUGACAAAAAUAGCCAACAUAGGCUGGGUGCGGUGGCUCAUGCCUGUAAUCCCAGCACUUUGGGAGGCUGAGGCGGACGGAUCACUUGAAGCCAGGAGUUCAAGACCAGCCUGGCCAACAUGGUGAAACCCCGUCUCUACUAAAAAUACAAAAAUUGACUGGGCGCAGUGGUGUGCAUCUGUAGUUCCAACUACUUGGGAGGCUGAGGCAGGAGAAUCACUUGAAUCCGGGAGGCGGAGGUUGCAGUGAGCCGAGAUCACGCCACUGCAUCCUAGCCUGGGUGACAGAGUGAGACCGUCUGAAAAAGAAAAAAGCCAACAUAGGAAUUUUUAAAAUAAUAUAUAAUUACCAAAAAUUGGGGAAAAUAGAGACAGGGAAGGCAGUUCUAUAAGCGAGAUAAAUCUUUAUCUUUUGUAUCAGAAAGUCAAUAAAUAUUGUCUGAAUUUGAUUGGUUAUUUCCAUUUUUAUGAAAUGUCUACAAUAGGCAAAUCUAUAGAACCAGUAAAGAAAUUAGGAAUUCCUGUGGCUGGGACUGAAGAGUGAAAUCACUGCAAGUGGUCAAGAGGGAUCUUCUGAAGUGAUAGGUGUGUUCUAAAAUUGGGCUGUGGGGAUGCUUGCACAACUCUGUAACUUUGCUAAAAUUCAUUUCAUUACACAUUUAGUGAGUUUUAUGAUAUGUACAUUACCCAUCAAUAAAGCUGUGUUAAAAAAAAGGCUGAUUUUUUAGGCUGGGCGCAGUGGCUCACGCCUGCAAUCCCAGCACUUUGGGAGGCCAAGGCGGGGGGAUCACAAGGUCAGGAGAUCAAGACCAUCCUGGCUAACAUGGUGAAACCCCGUCUCUACUAAAAAUACAAAAAAUUAGCCGGGUGUGG